This 699-nucleotide ribosomal RNA is filed under the name uncultured Staphylococcus sp. Its description in RNAcentral is "bacterial SSU rRNA". It matches the Rfam family "Bacterial small subunit ribosomal RNA", at positions 73 to 757 of the family's 1533-position model. The record is from RNAcentral. Lineage: Bacteria; Bacillati; Bacillota; Bacilli; Caryophanales; Staphylococcaceae.
GAGAAGCUUGCUUCUCUGAUGUUAGCGGCGGACGGGUGAGUAACACGUGGAUAACCUACCUAUAAGACUGGGAUAACUUCGGGAAACCGGAGCUAAUACCGGAUAAUAUUUUGAACCGCAUGGUUCAAAAGUGAAAGACGGUCUUGCUGUCACUUAUAGAUGGAUCCGCGCUGCGUUAGCUAGUUGGUAAGGUAACGGCUUACCAAGGCAACGAUGCAUAGCCGACCUGAGAGGGUGAUCGGCCACACUGGAACUGAGACACGGUCCAGACUCCUACGGGAGGCAGCAGUAGGGAAUCUUCCGCAAUGGGCGAAAGCCUGACGGAGCAACGCCGCGUGAGUGAUGAAGGUCUUCGGAUCGUAAAACUCUGUUAUUAGGGAAGAACAUAUGUGUAAGUAACUGUGCACAUCUUGACGGUACCUAAUCAGAAAGCCACGGCUAUCUACGUGCCAGCAGCCGCGGUAAUACGUAGGUGGCAAGCGUUAUCCGGAAUUAUUGGGCGUAAAGCGCGCGUAGGCGGUUUUUUAAGUCUGAUGUGAAAGCCCACGGCUCAACCGUGGAGGGUCAUUGGAAACUGGAAAACUUGAGUGCAGAAGAGGAAAGUGGAAUUCCAUGUGUAGCGGUGAAAUGCGCAGAGAUAUGGAGGAACACCAGUGGCGAAGGCGACUUUCUGGUCUGUAACUGACGCUGAUGUGCGAA